AUUAACCCGGCAGUGAGUGAUUAGUGAACCAAUACUCACAUCCAGGGGAGUGUCCUGAGGUUGGUGUUGAGCAAGCCCACUAUGAGUGGGAAGCCUGAACCAACACAUCUGCUCCCCACUUGAACUCAAGGGUUCAACAUCUAUACUGUCGGGCUAUCU
This 159-nucleotide non-coding RNA is filed under the name Legionella massiliensis. Its description in RNAcentral is "Legionella sp. LegA 6S / SsrS RNA". It matches the Rfam family "6S / SsrS RNA". From Rfam's summary of the family: E. coli 6S RNA was the first non coding RNA to be sequenced, but its function was unknown until recently. It consists of 184 nucleotides that fold into an extended hairpin structure with a large single-stranded internal bulge. Lineage: Bacteria; Pseudomonadati; Pseudomonadota; Gammaproteobacteria; Legionellales; Legionellaceae. The record is from Rfam by way of RNAcentral.